GAUGAACGCUGACGGCGUGCCUAAUACAUGCAAGUCGAGCGAACGGACGAGAAUCUUGCUUCUCUGAUGUUAGCGGCGGACGGGUGAGUAACACGUGGAUAACCUACCUAUAAGACUGGGAUAACUUCGGGAAACCGGAGCUAAUACCGGAUAAUAUUUUGAACCGCAUGGUUCAACAGUGAAAGACGGUCUUGCUGUCACUAGUAGAUGGAUCCGCGCUGCAUUAGCUAGUUGGUAAGGUAACGGCUUACCAAGGCAACGAUGCAUAGCCGACCUGAGAGGGUGAUCAGCCACACUGGAACUGAGACACGGUCCAGACUCCUACGGGAGGCAGCAGUAGGGAAUCUUCCGCAAUGGGCGAAAGCCUGACGGAGCAACGCCGCGUGAGUGAUGAAGGUCUUCGGAUCGUAAAGCUCUGUUAUUAGGGAAGAACAUCUGUGUAAGUAACUGUGCACAUCUUGACGGUACCUAAUGAGAAAGCCACGGCUAACUACGUG
This 497-nucleotide ribosomal RNA is filed under the name uncultured bacterium. Its description in RNAcentral is "partial 16S ribosomal RNA". It matches the Rfam family "Bacterial small subunit ribosomal RNA", at positions 28 to 507 of the family's 1533-position model. The record is from RNAcentral.